Non-coding RNA from Delphinapterus leucas (beluga whale), 390 nucleotides. Lineage: Eukaryota; Metazoa; Chordata; Mammalia; Artiodactyla; Monodontidae. The record is from RefSeq and is a predicted model, not a curated record.
CACCCCAGAGGGAAUGUCAGUAUCUUCCUGAGAAGUGUUCCUCGCAUGCCGGUUUGGGAAACACGCCUACUGCUGUGCAGGGUGAUGCCGUCAUUCUCCUUGACGCCCACAUCUCUACCUACAGCCCACAUCCCCCUCAGUGCAACCGUUCAGCUCAGAGGUCACCUUCCCUGGGAAACUUCAGGGAGAAACACCCGGCUGGGGUGAGGCGUCUGUGUCCUGUGCUUUCUCCCAGCACCGCAGGGGCUGCGCUGUAGCUGACCUAGGGGCGAGGGGCCGGGCACAGUCCCCCCACCCCCGGUCAGGAACUCAGGAAAAGGAGGCACUAACGUGCAAACCAGACGCCUAACACCCGGGAUUUAAGAGCGCUCCUGUGCUUCUCCCAGCCCG